Molecule: ribosomal RNA, 417 nt
Filed under: Triticum aestivum (bread wheat)
Lineage: Eukaryota; Viridiplantae; Streptophyta; Magnoliopsida; Poales; Poaceae
Description: partial small subunit ribosomal RNA
Source: RNAcentral
AUGGCCAACAAAUCCACCUCUGAAGUUAACCAUGGCCAGCUACCCAAGACAUCGUCCACAUGCUUGACGGAGAGUGUCACUGCGGUGCAUGAUUUUGAGGUGGCCAGUUACCGUUUGCUGGAUGGCAUCGGCGUCGGCAAGCACGUUCGCUCAAGCACCUUCAGCGUGGGUGGCUUUGAAUGGUUUAUGAAUUUCUUCCCGGAUGGGAGGAUGGCAGACUACGCUGGCUAUGCAUCAGUCUUUCUGGACCGUGUCAUUCAACAGAAUGACACGCAUAAUGUCAGGACUAAGUUCAGCUUAAACAUGCUAGAGAAAGACAGCGAGGCACAAUUAACUAAAUGUGGUAAGAUGGGUCAUGUCUUUCCUCAGCAAAGUCAUAUUGGGGCUACUGCAGAUUUGUUGCGAAAGAGAAACUGA